RNAcentral lists this ribosomal RNA (222 nucleotides) under Escherichia coli. Its description in RNAcentral is "partial 16S ribosomal RNA". It matches the Rfam family "Bacterial small subunit ribosomal RNA", at positions 1 to 219 of the family's 1533-position model. RNAcentral also lists the same sequence under 1 other name. Lineage: Bacteria; Pseudomonadati; Pseudomonadota; Gammaproteobacteria; Enterobacterales; Enterobacteriaceae. The record is from RNAcentral.
AAAUUGAAGAGUUUGAUCAUGGCUCAGAUUGAACGCUGGCGGCAGGCCUAACACAUGCAAGUCGAACGGUAACAGGAAGCAGCUUGCUGCUUCGCUGACGAGUGGCGGACGGGUGAGUAAUGUCUGGGAAACUGCCUGAUGGAGGGGGAUAACUACUGGAAACGGUAGCUAAUACCGCAUAAUGUCGCAAGACCAAAGAGGGGGACCUUCGGGCCUCUUGCC